CGAGUGGCGGACGGGUGAGUAAUGUCUGGGAAACUGCCUGAUGGAGGGGGAUAACUACUGGAAACGGUAGCUAAUACCGCAUAACGUCGCAGGACCAAAGAGGGGGACCCUCGGGCCUCUUGCCAUCGGAUGUGCCCAGAUGGGAUUAGCUUGUUGGUGGGGUAACGGCUCACCAAGGCGACGAUCCCUAGCUGGUCUGAGAGGAUGACCAGCCACACUGGAACUGAGACACGGUCCAGACUCCUACGGGAGGCAGCAUG
Molecule: ribosomal RNA, 260 nt
Filed under: uncultured bacterium
Lineage: Bacteria
Description: partial 16S ribosomal RNA
Rfam family: Bacterial small subunit ribosomal RNA
Source: RNAcentral